AAACUGGAGACACAGCAAACCAUCAUCCAGACACACAACACAUUUUCACUAUGACUUUAACAGCAUGUAUACUGUUUCUGAUGGUAUCACUGAUUUCUGGUGUUUGCAGUCAGACUCUGACCGAGUCUGAACCAGUGGUGAAGAGGCCGGGAGAAUCCCACAAACUGACCUGUACAUAUGCAGGAAUAUCAGAUGACGAUGCUGAUAUAGGCUGGAUCAGACAAGCUGAAGGAAAAGGACUGGAGUGGGUUGCCUACAUUUCUGCUCCGAGUGGAAGCACUAAAGCUUAUUCCACAUCAGUCCAGAAUCGCUUCACCAUCUCCAGAGACAACAACGUGGACCAGGUGUAUCUGCAGAUGAACAGCCUGACAACUGAAGACUCUGCUGUUUAUUAUUGUGCUCGACAGCCACAGUGGCACAGGAAGCCACAGAGCCGUACAGAAACCACUACAGACAGUCACUGAUAGAAAAUAAAACCACUUUGUUCAAGUUGUUUUUAAAAUAACCCCGAAUUCAGAGUCCUUGAUCAAUCUCCACACUGUGCUGCUCUCUCAUCAGGAUGAUCAUCUCUUCUAGUGAGGCUGAGCAGAAAUGUAUCUGUAAGAACAAUAACAUUAUCUUAGCCUUUCUUGACUCAAUGUAGACUGAUGGCUUCCAAAUGGACCAAAUUUAAAGGAGCUCUAAAUUAAACAUUCAUCAUUGCUGUGAUGUUUCAAUUUGUAUUUAUCAGCGUGAUAACAACAUUAAUUAAUUAAUGUCAUUAAUUAUAUCACAUUUGUCAUUGUUUCUUUAAAUCUGUUUUUCCUUGAGAAGUUUAAAAUGUUUUCCUAAAUAUCGUAUACUUAUACUUACAAUUACUGUUGUUGAUUAAACAAUAGCUUUUUUUAAAUUAAAAUAACAGAUUUUGAAGACAGCUAAAUCCUAUAUUAAAAUCAAUUUAAUCGGUUGGUGUUGCAUUAAAAAAUAGAAAAUAAAAAUGAAAAGAAAUAACCUAAAAACACUGAUAAACUGGUUGAAAAACAAAGUUACACUCACACAAUAUUUCUAUUUGGAAUAUGAGAUUGUGUUUAUAAUUUUUAAUGAGCAGAUAAAUGUUAGUUCAUUAGUAGUUUAAUGUAACAGCACAUAUGCAAAUGUUAUCUUAGAGUAAAUCUUUCUUUCUUAAAAAGUUUUUUUCGUUCUUUUCUCUCUACCUUUCUUGGUCUCUUGAGAUGACAGUGUUUAAUUGAUUUAAAUAAAAGAUUAUUCAAGAUGCAAAUAAAGGUUACUUAUAA
Molecule: non-coding RNA, 1274 nt
Organism: Dicentrarchus labrax (European seabass)
Lineage: Eukaryota; Metazoa; Chordata; Actinopteri; Moronidae
Source: the annotation of a RefSeq genome assembly